Molecule: long non-coding RNA, 223 nt
Filed under: Capsella rubella
Lineage: Eukaryota; Viridiplantae; Streptophyta; Magnoliopsida; Brassicales; Brassicaceae
Description: long non-coding RNA (CRUB_LNC001725)
Source: RNAcentral
GAUAUAUAUAUAUAAAGGGGAAAGGAAUUAUUCAGACGCAACUUCUCAAUAGUAUAGUAUGGGAGUAGAGUAUAAUAUUGGACCACUAUGGAGUUGCUUGGAAGUGCAGAAUCAAUCACGUUUUACUCAAUGUUUCUUCUCUCUAUUUUAUUAGUAUUAUAAAAAAAGAGAACAGACAAAGGAAUCUUGAACCAAUCUAGUUUUCGUGCUUACUCGUUUUGGU